This 253-nucleotide ribosomal RNA is filed under the name uncultured bacterium. Its description in RNAcentral is "partial 16S ribosomal RNA". It matches the Rfam family "Bacterial small subunit ribosomal RNA", at positions 524 to 776 of the family's 1533-position model. The record is from RNAcentral.
UACAGAGGGUGCGAGCGUUAAUCGGAUUUACUGGGCGUAAAGCGUGCGUAGGCGGUUGGGUAAGUCGGAUGUGAAAGCCCUGGGCUCAACCUGGGAAUGCCAUUCGAUACUGCCCGACUCGAGUUCGGUAGAGGGCGGUGGAACUCCAGGUGUAGCGGUGAAAUGCGUAGAUAUCUGGAAGAACACCAAUGGCGAAGGCAACCGCCUGGGCCUGGACUGACGCUGAGGCACGAAAGCGUGGGGAGCAAACAGG